CUACGGGCGGCUGCAGUAGGGAAUAUUGGGCAAUGGGCGCAAGCCUGACCCAGCAACGCCGCGUGCGCGAAGAAGGCCUUCGGGUCGUAAAGCGCUUUUCUGAGGGAUGAGAAAGGACAGUACCUCAGGAAUAAGCCUCGGCUAACUACGUGCCAGCAGCCGCGGUAAAACGUAGGAGGCGAGCGUUAUCCGGAUUUACUGGGCGUAAAGCGUGUGCAGGCGGUCUGGCAAGUUGGAUGUGAAGGCUCCCGGCUCAACUGGGAGAGGUCGUUCAAAACUACCGGAUUAGAGUGUAGCAGAGGGAGAUGGAAUUCCCGGUGUAGUGGUGAAAUGCGUAGAUAUCGGGAGGAACACCAGUGGCGAAAGCGAUCUUCUGGGAUACUACUGACGCUCAGACACGAAAGCUAAGGUAGCGAACGGGAUUAGAUACCCUUGUAGUC
RNAcentral lists this ribosomal RNA (440 nucleotides) under uncultured bacterium. RNAcentral's name for it is "partial 16S ribosomal RNA". It matches the Rfam family "Bacterial small subunit ribosomal RNA", at positions 339 to 795 of the family's 1533-position model. The record is from RNAcentral.